Molecule: ribosomal RNA, 927 nt
Filed under: Triticum aestivum (bread wheat)
Lineage: Eukaryota; Viridiplantae; Streptophyta; Magnoliopsida; Poales; Poaceae
Description: partial small subunit ribosomal RNA
Source: RNAcentral
AUGGGUCGCAAGAAGAUUGCCCUCGAGUACAUCAACAACGAAUCGAGUCGGCGCCGUACCUUCGAGACGCGUGGUAAGAACCUAGCAAGUAAGGCAGAUGAGGUUUCUAUCAUGUGCAACGCCAAGGCUUGUGUGUUGGUGUACGACGAGGGCAAUGCGGCGCCAAAGGUGUACCCGUCCCACGCCGAUGCAGUGGAUAUCCUGAAUCAGUGCAAAAACAUGCCAGAGGGACAGCUCAAGAAGGCGGUGAACUAGGAAGACUUCCUCACCCAGCGCCUCAACAAGCUCCAGGUCAAGGAAAACAUUGUACGAGACCCCGAGAUCAGGAUCCUGCUACACAAGGCCAUGCUCGGCAGUGACCUCCCCGACCUCAAAGUCGAUGAAAUCACCAGCGUCAGUAGCAGGCUAGAGGAGAUCCUCGAGAGAAUGGGCGAUAGCAUUGCAAAAUUUAGUGGAAAGCCUCCUGUCUUGCAGCCACAGGCACCAUAUGUCCCUGACAACAUGGACAUGGGGUCUUCGGCAACGUAUCAGGCAUCACCGCUAGCUCCACAUGUCCCCAAAAACAUGGACAUGGGGUCUCAGGUGAUGAAUCAGGCGCCAUCGUCCACUCCAUACGUCACUGGAAACAUGCACAUGGGGUCUCCAAUGAUGUAUCAUGUGCCGCCGCUACAUGAGGGUUGGCUCGAGAAGGUGAGAUCUGGAAGGGACCUCGACGCCCUGGUCCAUAAUGGCUAUAGCACCAAUAGGCAUGAUGGUGCCUACACCAGCACCGGUGUCGGCUAUAGCACCAAUGGGCACGACGGCGCCGGUACCAGUGACAACGAUGGCUCUUCCGGUGGGAUGAAGCCCUUUGAUGUGGGGUUUGGUUGGCAAUCGGGCGGCGUCGAUCCUGAAGAAUCAUCUUGGAGUCUUUUCCCUCCCAUGUAA